GAGGGGUGCAAACGUUAUUCGGAUUUACUGGGCGUAAAGGGUGUGUAGACGGCAUAUUAAGUUCGUUGUUAAAUCUUCCGGCCUAACCGGAAGCUUGCGAUGGAAACUGAUAAGCUUGAGGAUGGAAGAGAGAAGCGGAAUUCUCGGAGUAGCGGUAAAAUGCGUAGAUCUCGAGAGGAACACCGAUGGCGAAGGCAGCUUCUUGGUCCAUUCCUGACGUUGAGACACGAAAGCGUGGGUAGCAAACAGGAUUAGAUACCCUGGUAGUCCACGCCGUAAACGAUGAUCACUGGAUGUCGGUUUCGCUUUGCGAAAUCGGUAUCGAAGCUAACGCGUUAAGUGAUCCGCCUGGGAAGUACGGUCGCAAGAUUA
RNAcentral lists this ribosomal RNA (372 nucleotides) under uncultured organism. RNAcentral describes it as "partial 16S ribosomal RNA". It matches the Rfam family "Bacterial small subunit ribosomal RNA", at positions 527 to 896 of the family's 1533-position model. The record is from RNAcentral.